This 171-nucleotide ribosomal RNA is filed under the name uncultured Clostridium sp. Its description in RNAcentral is "partial 16S ribosomal RNA". It matches the Rfam family "Bacterial small subunit ribosomal RNA", at positions 338 to 524 of the family's 1533-position model. The record is from RNAcentral. Lineage: Bacteria; Bacillati; Bacillota; Clostridia; Eubacteriales; Clostridiaceae.
CCUACGGGAGGCAGCAGUGGGGAAUAUUGGGCAAUGGGGGCAACCCUGACCCAGCAACGCCGCGUGAAGGAAGAAGGCUUUCGGGUUGUAAACUUCUUUGACCAGGGACGAAGAAAUGACGGUACCUGGAAAACAAGCCACGGCUAACUACGUGCCAGCAGCCGCGGUAAU